Molecule: long non-coding RNA, 407 nt
Filed under: Heterocephalus glaber (naked mole-rat)
Lineage: Eukaryota; Metazoa; Chordata; Mammalia; Rodentia; Bathyergidae
Description: lncRNA (ENSHGLG00000039008.1)
Source: RNAcentral
CAAGGGAUCCCCGCGCUUGGCCUGCGGACUCCUGGCCCUGUGCUCUCCGCACACCGCGGAGGGUGGUCCUUGUCGCGUCCCAAGUCCAGGUGAAUGAACAGAACCUGCGGAAGAUGACAAGUACAGUUUCCUUUCCACUAGAAAAAAGACUGAGCUGAAGAUUGCUAAAAGUGAUAAAGCAAGUGAAAGAGCACAGUGUUCCUAGAUUCAAAGACUUCAGGCUGAUGAAAGAGAAAAGAAUGAUCAUUUGUGAUAUUUACAUUGGGCGAUAUUUUAAUGUUUCUUUGAGAUGUUUUCAUACUUAAAUAUCAAUUAUAACCCAACAGGAAGUAUUAGAUUCCAUUUUGAAAUUGGCUUAUUUCUAUACUUUGAAAUUGAAGAUAAUUUUAAAUUAAACGUAAAUAAAU